AAACAGAGUAUGGCAAAAAGAGCCUGUGGAGAAUACUUGGAAACAGUUUUAAGAAAUAAUCACGGCGAGAGGCAGCGAAACGUGACUAUAUGCAAGUCUGUAAAUAUACAAUUUAUAUCAAAAAAUUUUCUUAAUACUCUGAACAUAUGUUAUUUGAGUUUGAAUCAUUUGUCCUAGUUUAAGUUAUGUGCCUUUAUAAUUAUGAGUUUAUGAUCAUUUUCCAAGUUUGUUUAUGCCAAAUUGCUUACAAAAAUAAUUAAAAACUCUUGACAAAAUGAAGUUGAAUUU
Non-coding RNA from Paramuricea clavata, 288 nucleotides. The record is from the annotation of a GenBank genome assembly. NCBI's taxonomy places the organism in Eukaryota, Metazoa, Cnidaria, Anthozoa, Malacalcyonacea, Plexauridae.